GCCCGCUUGGCUCAGUGGUAGAGGUCAGUUCAGCUCCCAUACAAAAUAUUCCACACUCACUAACCUCGUAACAGCGUAUCACUAGUAAUGAUAAGGUCAUCAGUUCGAUUCUGAUAGCGGGCA
Non-coding RNA from Trematosphaeria pertusa, 123 nucleotides. NCBI's taxonomy places the organism in Eukaryota, Fungi, Ascomycota, Dothideomycetes, Pleosporales, Trematosphaeriaceae. The record is from the annotation of a RefSeq genome assembly.